AUUGAGCAUCAGAAGCGUAGUGGUAAACUGCAACCAUCACCUAUCCCAAAUUGGAAAUGGGAGAAAGUUUCUAUGGAUUUUGUCACAGGACUAGCAGAGAUCUAUGUAACACUCCAGUUUCAGGAAUAUAGUGAUGCAUGCGGAGAGGUUUAAAAGAAUUGAUUUGGCCACCUAUGUCACCAAAGUGCACUUAUCUUUUCGGUCAAACGUCUUUAGAGAACUCCACAGUUAAGCGUGUUUGCGCUGGAUUAGUUUCAGGAUGGUUGACCUUCUAGGAAGUGAUUGUCGGAACCAUGCAGGUGAGGACAAAGCAUGGAAAAAAAUCAUGUGGUGAUUUGUGGGGUCGUUAACAAGCCUUUAAAGCCUCCUAGACACGGCGCACCGACCGUCUGACAGGGGUGGGCCCAUGGGCCUGAGA
Molecule: small RNA, 418 nt
Filed under: Arabidopsis thaliana (thale cress)
Lineage: Eukaryota; Viridiplantae; Streptophyta; Magnoliopsida; Brassicales; Brassicaceae
Description: ATSL087740
Source: RNAcentral